This 68-nucleotide transfer RNA is filed under the name Marmota monax (woodchuck). RNAcentral's name for it is "tRNA.Ala". It matches the Rfam family "tRNA". From Rfam's summary of the family: Transfer RNA (tRNA) molecules are approximately 80 nucleotides in length. Their secondary structure includes four short double-helical elements and three loops (D, anti-codon, and T loops). The record is from RNAcentral. Lineage: Eukaryota; Metazoa; Chordata; Mammalia; Rodentia; Sciuridae.
GUGUGUAGCUCAGUGGUAGAGCACUUGUGUAGCAUACAGGAGGUCUGGGUUUGAUCCCUAGUAUCACA